CUUUUUGCCUUUUCUAGAGCCACUCCUGCAGCAUAUGGAGGUUCCCAGGCUAGGGGUCGAAUCAGAGCUGUAGCCGCCGGCCGACACCACAGCCACAGCAACACCAGAUCCGAGCCAUGUCUGCAACCUACACCACGGCUCACGGCAACGCCGGAUCCUUAACCCACUGAGCAAGACCAGGGAUAGAACCUCAUGUUUCCUAGUCGGAUUUGUUAACCACUGAGCUGCAAUGGGAACUCCUCUAAAUCCCAAAUCUUAAAUCCUCUUAGUGGCAGGGGGUCCCAAGCUUGGCAGUCUGGUUUAGGAGCCUGCACUCUUAACUGCUAAGAUAUACUACCUGAAAAAAUGAAUAAUUAAGCAUUAGUCUCUGAAUUUUGUGUGCUCCUGUCAUUGGCUGAGAGUAAGGUACCCCAGCUGUCAACUGUACCUAUACUUACUCUGCCAGCAACAUGGGCUUCCCCAGCUACUUAACAAAGCCGUCCUGCUUUCUCUGACUUUCUGAAUGGCAUGGCAUUCAGCCUGAAACAGAUUUCCCACUGGCACAGACAAGACAAAAACACGAACAUUUGGAUAAUAUUUUAAAACUUAUAAAUAGAAAUAUUUUAAUUUGAUCCUCACAGCAAAUAUGUGAAAUAUUAUAAGCAACCCUUUUCAAAAAGGAGAAAUCUAACACAUACAGCUGAUGAGCUAGGGAGUGCAGACUCUGACCCCAGUCGGGGUCAGCCCAAGGUCCGGUGGUUUGGCCCAAGCUCCAAAGCUUUUCUCCGUCACACUAUGCUGCUUCACCACACAUGCUUGUCUAUACCACCCCAACCUCUAGAAUCCCCUCUAGUCUAUUGGAAAUGGGAUACUGACUCUGUACCACUGAUCUUAGAUUAGAAAGGAGCUGAGUACGAUGCAGCUAUGCUUAGGUCUUCAGAGGCUCCAAGGUAAAAUUGGUGAAAGAUGUGUAUCUGGGCCUAUUUAUUCAAAGGACAAAUUUGAUGACUGUAUACAAUGUGUUAAGCCUGUGUUGUCCAGUGCAGGAGCCACUGGCCACAUGUGGUUUUUGAGCAGUUGAUUUAGUAGUUGACUAGUGUCACUAGGGAACUGAGUUUUUACUAUUACUUCAUUUUUGUUAAUUUAUAUUUAAAAUUAAAGAUGGAAACAAUGUAAAAUACAUUUCUAUUAAUAGAGUUUUAUUGUUUUGGUAGCAGUAUCUUUCACUUUAGGUUUCCCACUGCACAUGUAUAGUAAUGCCCUUAUGUGGAUGCCUUGUUUCUACUAAUACACAUAAACACAUCACUGAUCUAGCAGGAGCUGAUGGCUUGAAUAAUUUUCUUCUCUACAUGCAACAUUGUAGUAUGUUUCUUGGAAUGCUUUAUUCCGACAGCUCCAAUUGCAGGGAUAACUAUGUAAACUGUAAUUUAUAAUUGAACUGAAACACGUGCUAAUAUUUUAAUUAUACUACAAUUAAAUUAUUCUUUAGCAUAAAAAUAAGCAUGGACAAGAUUCUAAAAUUUAAAACAAAAGCAGACUACUGAUGCAGAAUUGAGUGGAGAUAGAAAAGCCAAUACUAUGAUCAGAAUAGAAAAGAAAAUAAGACACUGGAAGAAAAAUACUGUAAAUUUUACAGAGAAUGGCGAUUGCAAUUUGCCACAGCAGAAAAAAACAAAGAUGAUUUCUGUUUUGUUUUAAAAAAAAAGAUAAUAGACAAACAUUAGAGAUAUUUAUAGCAAAUACGGUAAAUUAGAUAAGUUCCUUCUCAGCAGUCAAAAAAUAAUUGACUAAACUAGUCACCUGAUAUCAGAAUUAAAUAUCAAUCCAUAAAAAUUUUAAAGAUUUUUAACAGACUCUGAGCUUCUAAUUUUGGCUAGCUAUGAAAUGACUUAGAUUCUUAUAUAUGCAUACACAAAACUAUUUUUGACAGAUAAUAGAAUGAAUUAUUAUUCCAAUUCCGAAAAAAAUUUUUGGCUGUGCCCAUAGCACGCAAAACUUCCCAGGCCAGGGCUUGAACCUGCAACACAGCAGCAACUGGAGACACAGCAGUGACAACACUGGAUCCUCAAACUGCUAGGUUACUGAGAAACUUUUUUUUUUUACUUAUGAAAAUUAUAAGGAAAAUACUAAAAGCGACAUUAUAUAAAAAGUGGAAGAUCUUUAAUUAAGUUAGCAAACUAUUGUCCAUGGGCUAUAGAGCUCUAACAACAUCAAAGAUCGAUUAUUACAAAUUUGAAGGAUUUUUUUCAGCUUUUAAUGAACUGGGAAAUCUAAGAGACCCUGCUCAAUUAAUACGUGCGCACAUGUCAUUUCAAAUUUAUAAUAAAUUUUGUCAACCUGUGGCCUAAAGUAUGGAACUUGUGGCCCAGAUAGUUUAUCAUCUUUUGUACAUAUCAAAGAAGAAUUUUACUUAGCUGUAGGAAGGAAGAAAUGUUUCAGUCACAACACACGAUGCUUUAGCUAUGCCAGAUUUUUUUUUUUUUAAUCCUGAUUUUUUUGGAAGUUUUAAACAACGGACUGAUAGUCUAUUGUUUCAUUUCAUUGUAUGAUAUAUAUUGAAAACAUCUGGACUAAGUUUCUGAAGCAGUCUUUAUGAAAAGUGUCAUGUUUGCAGUUGUUAGAAGUCUUUAGUACAUAUAUGUAAAUGUUAUGAAUCACUGUCAGUUUACAAAUCUGUUGAAAAACACCAAAGACAAUGAGGUCAAUGAUCUUGUGGGGUUUUUGUCCAGUUGAGUCAUGUUGUAAAAAUUUACAGUAAACUCCAAAAUUUUCUUGAAACAAAAUUCAGUAAGUCAAAGACAAAGCACGUCAGUGUGAUUAACCCUUCCUAGCCAAUAUCACACUACAUAUGAAUGAGCCAAACUUGAAGUUUCAUGGAAAGGAAAAGCUUUGUGACCCAGGUUUAUUGGUAUGAGAAUUUGCUAAGAUAAAAAUUCCAUUGCACGCACAUACCAAAUAAAUAAAUAAAUAUUCCAUUACACAUAUCAAUAAUAAUUAUUUUACACAUUUUUCUAAUGGAAAUACAUACGCCACAGUUAGUAACUAAAAUUGAAUGAAUUAUGUACUUUGGCUGCAAAAAUGACAAGAACAAUUUGAAGGACUAUUUUUGGAGUAAACUUAGAACUGCUUUUCAAUUUAUACAAUAUCCUUUUGCACCCAGGGUUAAUACUGUGUUUACACAAGAGUUAAUGAAUCUAUUAUGGACAGUCGUAGUUUUGAAAUGGAUAUGCAAGUUAGCUUCAAAGCUUAAUUAAUUGCUCUAAAAAUGAUGGGCCAGUUUUGUCCAUGUGAGUUUAAAUAUUAAAGUAAAAUAAUAUUUUUGGUAUUUAAUUCCAUUUUUAGAAAACUUUUAAGUAAGCUUGGAACAGUGCAAUAUAUGACUAUAUUUUUUUGAGAAGAAAUUUUAUGAACUCUAAAUGUGGAUCCAGUGUUUCUGAUGAAACUUUGGUUUCUGAGUUGAGAUGUACUGGAAGUGUAAAAUACCUAUCAAGUUUUGAAAACCUGAUGUGAUAAAAAGAAUGUAAAUGAUAUCAUUGGUUAUUUUCCACACCAAUUAAGUAGUAAUGUUUGGAUGUACUGGGUUAAGUAAAACAUUAUGAAAAUGAAUUUCCUUUGUUUCUUUUUAUUUUUUAAAGUGGCUACUAAAAAUUUUUAAAUUAUAUGUGUCUUUCAUUAUAUUUCUAUUGGACAAUACUAACCCUUUGAGUUGGUCAAAGAGGAUAGAGAGGUGAAUAAGACCUUUCUAUCAAGAAGAAAGCUAAGCACAGACAUCCUAUUGUAAAAUCAUGUGGAAGUUAAAUGACAGACUCCAAAAGACGUGGAAGAAGUCUCAAUGAGAGUGCCUAACUCAGAUUGGGGAAAACAUGGAAGACUUCUUGGAGGAAGUGAUAGCAGGAUACGGCCUUAAAAGAGGAGUAAGUAAUAAUAAAUAAGAAAAAAUAAAAAUGGCUUUCCAAUGGAGUAGUUAUUAUCCGCAAAGACCUAAAGAGGUAAAAUUGUAUACUCAUGUAGGGUAUAAAAGUGGAUCUGGUUUACUAGGUUGUAAAUGUGAGAGUGUGGCCAGAGACUAGGGUGGAGAGGUAGCUGGAUCCUGAUAGGCCUUGUAGACCAUGCUAGCCUUGGGACUAAUUCUGGAGGUGAUGGCUCAUGGGUUAAGUUGGAUACUCAGGCAGUAAACUCUGUAAACUCUAAUUCCAGGAAGUUUUUCUUUCCUAAUCUGUUUCACUGGGGAAGUGGGAGCACUGAUCAUUUUCACUGAUUGGAUGAACAAGAAUGGUACCAUUCUUGUGAGAUGAAAUUUUAUAUUGUAUGGCAGCUGGUUUCAUGUCAUUGGAUUCAGGUCUUCUCCAUUCAUAUGUCAAACACAGCUGAUUGAUUUCAGAGCCUGAAGUCUUAAAUUUCCGCAAUUAUUUAUUCCACUGAUUGCUGUCUGUUAUAUAUUUGUUUGUGAUUUAUAUUGACCCACUGGAGUAUAAAUUUCACAAAGCAGUGUCUCUGCUGUGUUCACCACUGUAUCCCUAGCACCUAUGAUAGAGCCUCACAGAUAGUACGUGCUCAGUAAAUGUUUUUGAAUAAGUAACACAUUAGAUAAGAUGGUAACACCUACUGGUAACAUGUAGUAGCCCUACUGCAGUCUGUAGAUACCUGGAUAAGACACUUAAAGAAGGCAAAUUCCAUCAACACAUUAUCUUUGAAUCAUGCUGACUUAACAGGUUAAAAAAAUGAAGGCAAGCGGAAAGCCAAGGGAGGAAAAAAAAUGCACAUCCAGAGAAAUAAGGGAGCCUAAUGUAGUGGAAGAAUGAGGACUUCACACUCAGACCAACACAGGUUUCAGUCCUCAACUCAGGUUUCUACUUGCUGUGUGACACUGUGUAAAGUAACUCACAUCUCUAAGCCUCAAUUUCUUCAACCUUAAAAAGGGGCAGUAAGAGUUCCCACCGUGGUAUAGUAGGUUAAGGAUCAGGGGUUGCCACAGCUGAUGUGUAGGUCACAGCUGUGACUGGGAUUCAAUCCCUGGCCUGGGAACCUCCACGAGUGUGGCUGAAAAAGAGGCAGGGGCGAGAGGGGGCAGAAAAACCAGCAGUGUUUUGACACUGGAAAUAACACAUUUAAAGUGUGUGUGCCAAAGGACAGCUAGUGUUAGCUUCUGUGUAAGACAAUGGAAAGUGAGGGGUUUGCUUGACUGUUUCCAACUUUUCCUCCUUCAUUCUGGUCUAGGAGGAGCCUUCCAAUCAUUCUCAUGCAUGUGGCUUUUCAGAGGAGGUAGUUUCUUUGCUCAGUGCACAAUUGGCCAUUUCCUGGCCUUGUAUGACAAGUGAAUAAGGCCAAGCAUGGAUUGCCCAGGCUGCUGAUACCAGAAACCUCUCUCAGGAUAUUUUCCAGGCACUAGGAAAUCAAUAUCCACUGUCAGGCAGCUUCAAAGCUGAUUACCUUGAAAUGAAUGGUCAUGCCUCCUCUUUAGGUCUCCAUUCUCCCCUUGUUCAAAGGAUUGGCUGCAAUACAUUAGGUCCCUAAUUAAGAAGGAUGAUGCUCAGCAAAUGACUCCUCUGAGCAGAAUACUAAGCCACUGGAAAAGUUUUGGGGCAGGUCUUCUGGUAUCCACACAGAGGGACCAUAUGUGAAUAGAGUCGAUGCUGCCUUAAUUGGUCAUGGUGUAGGGAUUAUAUUUCACCGCUCUGCUGGGAGUAAUAAAGUCUAACGUUCUAAUCAGUGUGGCAGCCAAGAAAUGGAAACUUAGAAUCUGAGCUGCUCUGCUAUUCAUCCAGAGCCGGUGAAAAGGAAAUGGAUACUGCCUCAGCUGUUUGAAAAUACAGACCCUUCACCUAAUAAUAAAAACACCCUCAGCAGGAUGAAACCAGACCCUACAUCUAAUAAUAAUAAUAUUUCUGGAGUGAAGCCAACCUCGACUCAAACCUUUUGUCAUUUACUAUCCGUUUAGCCUAAAGGAUUUUGUUUGGCCUUUCUCAUAUUUGGUUUCAACAUUUAUCAAAUGGGAUUAUGAAAAGUACGUUAAAUAAAUAAUUUCUCAUAACUGGCAAAGUUUCUGGCACAGAGAAAGCUUGCAAACAAUGUCUCUUUCUCUUUCCCUACUAUUCACAAUGUCUUUACAUUUUUCAGAAGUUACCAGCUUGAGGUUUGAAUGGACAUGAGGGUCUUUACUGAUAAGCAUGCCUAUGGUUUUGAGCAGAUUCCCUAAGGUUUUUAUUUUUCUUUUCUUUCUUUUUUUUUUAACCUCAAAACAAGGCUAUCACUUGUAAAAAUCCUGUAAAAAUCACUGGUCUUUAUCUUUCUUCUAGGGUCUGGUUCCUGCCUCUCU
Molecule: long non-coding RNA, 6295 nt
Filed under: Sus scrofa (pig)
Lineage: Eukaryota; Metazoa; Chordata; Mammalia; Artiodactyla; Suidae
Description: lncRNA (ENSSSCG00000053225.1)
Source: RNAcentral